This 435-nucleotide long non-coding RNA is filed under the name Nicotiana benthamiana. RNAcentral's name for it is "long non-coding RNA (NBEN_LNC037789)". The record is from RNAcentral. Lineage: Eukaryota; Viridiplantae; Streptophyta; Magnoliopsida; Solanales; Solanaceae.
CAUACUAGCGCUCUGGCAUGAGGUUAACUUAUUCUAGGUUCAAAACCUGGGUAUAGGGUCUAGACUGUGUACCCGAGUAGAUAACUCAAGUCGAGGAGGGGGCUAUGUACCGGGAACCAAAAGGUCAUCCGGCUAGUAACGUUUCCGAGCCUCUUUCUUAUUUUAAGGUAUGACACUAACAGAAUAGGAAGUCUUGACCAACGAGCAUAUCCCCAAAGAUGAGAAGAGAAGGGUUUCGCGGAAGUUUAUACACAGUUCAAAUAAUAUUAAAGCAGUAAAAGGCAACAUUUAGCACAUUGGGCACAAUCAUGUAAUAAAAUCACAUAAUAACAAAGCCAAAUACAAUAAUAAUUUUUAAGCUCGAAUUCUUGAACCCUGAACCAGAGAUUCUAGGUUCGAUCCCCAGCAGAGUCGCUAGAGCUGUCACACCUCUUU